Long non-coding RNA from Piliocolobus tephrosceles (Ugandan red Colobus), 3461 nucleotides. RefSeq lists it as uncharacterized. The record is from RefSeq and is a predicted model, not a curated record. The transcript has 3 exons. NCBI's taxonomy places the organism in Eukaryota, Metazoa, Chordata, Mammalia, Primates, Cercopithecidae.
CUUGCUAUGUUGCCCAAGAUGGUCUCAAACUCUUGAACUCAAAUGAUUCUGUCACCUGGGCCUCCCAAAGUGCUAGGAUUAUAGGUGUGAGUCACUGUGCCUGUCCUGGUAAUAACAGUUUUAAGACCAGCCUCUUAAAAUGAAAGUUAUUGUGGCAACUUUUAAAAUAUGGGUUGAAAAGAGAGGAAACCGGGGAUAACAUCAUAAAUAGAUUAUUAUAGUAUCCCUGGUGAAAGAAAAAAUGAAGGCCUGAAGGCAGCGAAGGCAAAGACAAACUUGAUAUCUAAUGGAAUAUGGGUAAGUAACCGUAUAAGUUAUCAGCCAAAAUGGAACACAUUUAAGAGUCAAAGAAGGCAUUAUUAAUAAUUACUCCAGCAUAUCAAAAUACCACAUUAUACCCCAUAAAUAUAUACAAUUUGUCAACUAAAAAUAAUUUUUUUUUUUAAUUCAUGAAAAAGGGGAAUAAGAAGAAAAACAUUCCUCCAGAACUAGUCUGGGCAGAAGAGUUGUGGUAACUAGAUAUGAGGAGAAAGAGGAAGGAGGCACAGAGUAGUUGGAGCUUGCUGCCUGGAAGAAUGACUGUAUGAUAAGACAAAGAGGCGGGAUGAUGUGAAAUAAUUCACAUUGUUAAUUAUGAAGUGUGUUUUGAAUCAGCUCAACGUUAUCCAUAAAUGACACUCAGAAAGAUACUGUGUUCAGAUAGGGGACAAUGUGUUUUUGCAGUGAUAGCAGUGGAAGGGAAUGGUCAGCUUAAGGGGCAGUUGGUAAUUGUGUCAUCAUCAAAUGAAUUAGUAGCAAGACUUGACCAGCAUUCAUGAAUAAUGAAGCUUUUCUUGCUGACAGACUGCUGAUGUUUACAUUGAGCCAUUAUAAUAGGCAAUUUUAUGUCAUUAAUGACCUUUAUAUCAAAAAUAACUCAUGUGAAUGAAUGAAUGAAUGUAGUGAACAUUAAGUACUGCUAAUAGAAAAAAAAAAAGGCAAGGCUUCUUUAAUCUACAAAAUUGGCAGAAUGAUCAUCAGUAUUUCUGCCUGUUCUUUACCUCAGUUACACACAUCUUUAUUUAUUAUUUAUUUAUUUAUUUAUUUUAUUUUAUUUUAUUUUUACAGACAAGGUCUGACUAUGUCACCCAGGCUGGACUUGAACUCCUCAGUACAAGUGAUCCUCCUGCCUGAGCCUCCUCAAUAGCUGGGACUACAGGCUUGCACCACCAUGCCCUGCUCUAGUUACACAAAUCUUAAUAUGAUGCUGUUAAUUCAAUGAAGAAACUAAACUAGUUCUAUGAUCCAAGCACAUGGUUGUGACUCAAUUCAUGUUGUUUUAAUCCUGAAAUGAUAUUGUAAAGGAAGAGCUUUGCCUUAAAGUUUUUGUUUCUCAUCUUUUACAUUUGAGGUAAGAAGGCAAGUGGCAGGGAAGAAUGAUUAGCAAUAAACCUUUUUAAAAGUUAUUCAGAAGCCGUAGACAAUUGGUUGAGUCAAACUGACCUAUAAUGACUAUUCCCAGGAAUUUCCUAAUUCUCAUUCCUUUGGAAGGAAUUGUAACUGCCUUAUGCCACGUACAGAAUGCUGCUAUUUCAAGUUUAUUACAAAGAUGUGCCUACAGAUAAGAAUCAAACUGGAGAACUUUAAAAAUGUUUUAACUUUACCUGAUCUUUUUCUCAGAAAGCUAACUGUAAGUAGGAUAUGGUGCCAAGAAAAAUCAUCAGCCUGAUACCAUGAAAAAGACACCCUAUUAAUAUGCCCACAACAUUAUCAGCAAGCUAAGUAACAUCCCUGGACCUUAGUUUCAUUGUAUUUUUAACUAAAAUAUAUAUCAGAGCCCUUAACACAAGCCCGAUAUAUUUUGGAACCUCAAUAAAUAGUGAUUUUACUGAUUGUCUUUUUAACAAUUUCUAAAAUAUUGAAUACUGGUUAUUAUAAUUAAAUGUAUUCUGAACAUCUCUUUCUGUCUCAUGCCUCGAUCUAGUCUGUUCCUUUCAGCUAGAAUGCCUUUUCCUUCCUUUUCUCACAUAGCAAUCUUUGACAUAUCCUUGAAGACUGAGCUCUCCCAUCACCCUGGGAGGUCUGGCCUGGUCCGGAAGACCAUUCAGCACAUCUUUCUCUGUUGCCUAGUGUGGGAUUUUUGUCUGUUUUCAGCAGGUUGUUGCAGACUACAAGCCUCUGGAGGGCAGUGACUCGAUUCCAUUCAGCUCCAUAUCCCGACUACCAGCAUGGCAUGCAUUGGGGGUGUCCAUGAAUACAUAUACAGAACAGAAACUUUCAGGACAUAUAAGAAAUGUACUUCAGAGGCAUUUGUUAGUCGUCUGUUUCCUCACAGUGUAAGACUGUUACGCAUAUAAAUGCAUGAGCCCCCAUGGGCUGAAAGCAGUCCUACCCUCCUUCUUGGCUAAAUGGAAAUGCAAGUGAACUAUACAGCAUUCGAUGGACCAAUCAACAGGGCAAAAAUCAAUGUUCUGUUAUCUGGAAGAGGCUCUGAGGACCAAUGUUUCUCUCCAGGUUAUCUUACAAAAAAUGCUCCAGCAGUUCAUGUGCUUUAAAAAUAAAACAUCUAGACUCUGUGAUCUUGUGCACGUUGGUAAAUUUGUCUGAGACUCAAUUUCUUCAGCAGUAAGAUGGGGAUACCAGUAGGAACAACCUCACAGAGUUGAUGUGAGAGUUAAAUGAGUCAAUGAAUGCAAAGUGUUUGGCGCGGUGCAUGGCACCAAGUGACGGUAAAUGUUGAUGACAACGACUCCUCCCCCUCCUCCUCCUCGCACCAAAUGACAAUAAAUGUUGAUGAUUCCUCCCCCUCCCCCUCCCCCUUCCUCUCCUCCUUCCCCUUCUCCUUCUCCUCCUCCUUCUUUCUUCUUCCCAUUAUCACCACCACCACAGCCUUUGCAAUUUUUUGUUUUCUAUUUCCCACUAAGAUUCUAGUAUAUCCUUGCCUAGUUGGAGGAAGUGUUCUGAACUCUGACUCAUCUCUUCCUUGCUUAGAAUUCAAAGAAUUCUGUUAUAAUUUCACCUGGAAUCUCCAUGGGUGACUAUUGCUUUUUAUUGAAAUAGAAUAAAUUCGAGUGACCUACCAGCUCCUGGGCACACAGAGAACUGUGCUUUAGAGAAAACAACAAUAUCAACCUUAAGAGGAAAAAUGGCACUAAAUUAGAAUGUGGUUUUGGUUAUACAAUUUCUGCAAAAUUGAAUCUUGAGUCUCUAGUCAUCAAGGUGAAAAGUGGCUUUCCAAAAAGGAGAGGGAGUAGGUGGUGGUGCUGUGAGGAGAUAAUAAUGACCUUGCCCUUGGGCCCAUCUCUGCAGGGGAGGUGGUGUAGGCUGGCGGUGAUGGGUCCAGGGUUUCAGCUGGAUGCGGUUUUUAAUCUUUUCUUGAUCUUGUUGUAUAAUUUGGAGCAAAUUAGUCUGCCACCUCUCUUAGCUUCUCUUUUCUGCUUCACGACAUCUACUUCAUAUGAGGAUUAAAUGAGGUCAUACAA